UUGACCUCAAAUCAGGUAGAUA
This 22-nucleotide ribosomal RNA is filed under the name Melanoleuca rasilis. RNAcentral's name for it is "partial 28S ribosomal RNA". RNAcentral also lists the same sequence under 1 other name. Lineage: Eukaryota; Fungi; Basidiomycota; Agaricomycetes; Agaricales; Pluteaceae. The record is from RNAcentral.